UGGCGGACGGGUGAGUAACGCGUGGAUAACCUGCCGUAUACAGGGGGAUAACACUUAGAAAUAGGUGCUAAUACCGCAUAAGCGCACGGUUCCGCAUGGAACAGUGUGAAAAACUCCGGUGGUAUACGAUGGAUCCGCGUCUGAUUAGCCAGUUGGCGGGGUAACGGCCCACCAAAGCGACGAUCAGUAGCCGGCCUGAGAGGGCGACCGGCCACAUUGGGACUGAGACACGGCCCAGACUCCUACGGGAGGCAGCAG
This 258-nucleotide ribosomal RNA is filed under the name uncultured bacterium. RNAcentral's name for it is "partial 16S ribosomal RNA". It matches the Rfam family "Bacterial small subunit ribosomal RNA", at positions 96 to 354 of the family's 1533-position model. The record is from RNAcentral.